UACGUAGGCAGCGAGCGUUGUUCGGAAUUACUGGGCGUAAAGGGCUCGUAGGCGGCCAACUAAGUCGGAUGUGAAAUCCCCAGGCUUAACCUGGGAACUGCAUCCGAUACUGGAUGGCUUGAAUCCGGGAGAGGGAUGCGGAAUUCCAGGUGUAGCGGUGAAAUGCGUAGAUAUCUGGAGGAACACCGGUGGCGAAGGCGGCAUCCUGGACCGGCAUUGACGCUGAGGAGCGAAAGCCAGGGGAGCAAACGGG
Molecule: ribosomal RNA, 253 nt
Filed under: uncultured bacterium
Lineage: Bacteria
Description: partial 16S ribosomal RNA
Rfam family: Bacterial small subunit ribosomal RNA
Source: RNAcentral